AAGAGUUGUGUGAGCCAUUCUAACCCCCAAAUCCGACCACUCUCCCUCCCUCAUUCACUCUCAUCUGAUUUUUGAAGACUCUCUCAAGUGUUCUCUCCAUUUUGAACCCCAAGAACACCAAAGAAACUUGGAAGCUAAGUCUUGGUCUAGGAAGGGUUUUCCCUAAGUUGGUUAGGGUUUUUGAAAGGUUUUGAAGGAGUCAAAGCUUAUAGGAAGGUCCAAACCUUAAGCAAGAACACCAAAGAGUAUUGGCUAAGCGUAACUGGACUGAACGUUGGAGGGUGAAAACCUGCUGAGCGCUAAGGACUCCAAGUCAGUGCAAGGGCAAGGCAGAGCAGUGAGCGCUGGAGUCUUCCUUGCAAAUGUACAUGUGGACCGACCUUUUGGGAAGCCUUUUUAUUUUUGGAAAUGUUGUGUAAUUUUCCUAAACUAGGCUCACUCUAAUCUUUAUAAAACAUGUUUGUAAUUAAAUGUUAAGUAUGGCCAUACGACUUUUUAAAAAGUUUUUUUUUCUA
Humulus lupulus (European hop) is the source of this 515-nucleotide long non-coding RNA. RefSeq lists it as uncharacterized. The record is from RefSeq and is a predicted model, not a curated record. The transcript has 4 exons. NCBI's taxonomy places the organism in Eukaryota, Viridiplantae, Streptophyta, Magnoliopsida, Rosales, Cannabaceae.